Molecule: ribosomal RNA, 253 nt
Filed under: uncultured bacterium
Lineage: Bacteria
Description: partial 16S ribosomal RNA
Rfam family: Bacterial small subunit ribosomal RNA
Source: RNAcentral
UACGUAGGGUGCAAGCGUUGUCCGGAAUUAUUGGGCGUAAAGAGCUCGUAGGCGGUCUGUCGCGUCGGCUGUGAAAUCCCGAGGCUCAACCUCGGGUCUGCAGUCGAUACGGGCAAACUGGAGUGUUGCAGGGGAGACUGGAAUUCCUGGUGCAGCGGUGAAAUGCGCAGAUAUCAGGAGGAACACCGGUGGCGAAGGCGGGUCUCUGGGCAACAACUGACGCUGAGGAGCGAAAGCGUGGGGAGCGAACAGG